Molecule: ribosomal RNA, 1203 nt
Filed under: metagenome
Description: bacterial LSU rRNA
Rfam family: Bacterial large subunit ribosomal RNA
Source: RNAcentral
CGAGUCCGAGUCUCCACGGAGACGAAGUGGCGGUCAUCCAGCUUCCUAGAAAAGCUCUAACCACGUUAAUCUUUAGUUGCCUGUACCCGAAACCGACACAGGUAGGGGGGUAGAGAAUACCAAGGGGCGCGAGAUAACUCUCUCUAAGGAACUCGGCAAAAUGACCCCGUAACUUCGGGAGAAGGGGUACCACUGAGAAGUGGUCGCAGUGAAGAGGCCCAGGCGACUGUUUACCAAAAACACAGGUCUCCGCCAAGUCGCAAGACGAAGUAUGGGGGCUGACGCCUGCCCAGUGCCGGAAGGUUAAGGAAGUGGGUUAGGGAUUCGUCCCGAAGCUGACGACUGAAGCCCCGGUGAACGGCGGCCGUAACUAUAACGGUCCUAAGGUAGCGAAAUUCCUUGUCGGGUAAGUUCCGACCCGCACGAAAGGCGUAACGAUCUGGGCGCUGUCUCGGAGAGAGGCUCGGCGAAAUAGGAAUGUCUGUGAAGAUACGGACUACCUGCACCUGGACAGAAAGACCCUAUGAAGCUUUACUGUAGCUUGGAAUUGGGUUCGGGCUUGGUUUGCGCAGGAUAGGUGGGAGGCGAAGAAGAUUUGCUUGUGGGUGAAUCUGAGCCAACGGUGAGAUACCACUCUAACCAGGCUAGAAUUCUAACUUCAACCCGUCAACCGGGGGAAGGACAGUUUCAGGUGGGCAGUUUGACUGGGGCGGUCGCCUCCUAAAAGAUAACGGAGGCGCACAAAGGUUCCCUCAGGCUGGUUGGAAAUCAGCCAACGAGUGCAAAGGCAGAAGGGAGCUUGACUGCGAGACCUACAAGUCAAGCAGGGUGGAAACACGGUCUUAGUGAUCCGACGGCACCGAGUGGAAGGGCCGUCGCUCAACGGAUAAAAGUUACUCUAGGAUAACAGGCUGAUCUCCCCCAAGAGUUCACAUCGACGGGGAGGUUUGGCACCUCGAUGUCGGCUCAUCGCAACCUGGGGCGGAAGUACGUCCCAAGGGUUGGGCUGUUCGCCCAUUAAAGCGGUACGUGAGCUGGGUUCAGAACGUCGUGAAACAGUUCGGUCCAUAUCCGGUGUAGGCGCAAGAACAUUGAGAGGAGUCUUCCUUAGUACGAGAGGACCGGGAAGAACGCACCGCUGGUGUACCUGUUAUCGUGCCAACGGUAAACGCAGGGUAGCCAAGUGCGGAGUGGAUAACCGCU